CUUACAAGUCACUAUCCGAUCCCCAAAUCUCACAUACAAAAUUAUACUGAAUUUAUUAUUCUUGUUGACAUUAUCAUUUUUUGUUAUUGUUGCUGCCAUUGACAUUAUUUUUCUUUUUCUUGGGUCGAAAAAUAGGCAUGCCAUAGUAGAAGAAUUGGCUGGAUUUGGUACUACAGUUUAUACAUGUCGAAACCAAGAUCAACUUGAUCAAUGUUUAGAGAAAUGGAGAGGCAAAGGUUACAAAGUAGAAGGAUGUGUAUGUGACUUGACUUUGAGACCCCAAAGGAGAUGCUAAUGGAGAAAGUUAUCGUUUAUUUCCAGGGAAAGCUCAACAUUCUAGGCUACCUCGAUGGAUCCCUCUUGCCUCAUCAUCCUUCAUUGUUCUUGUGCCUACAGAGCACUGAAUAACUCUGCCAAGCUAAGCUUUGAUAGAUCUUUAGUAUUGUCCAAUGAAGCAAUAGUUACGUUAUUUCUCUCAGGUAAGGUUACAAGCAUCUUUUGAACUAUUCUAUUGUCAUUAAAUUCAGUUCUAAGUAUUCUUACCUUAUUUGAAAUCACAAGCAACCUGUUAGAAUAAUCCUUAAUGAUUUUAGAUUUCUUCAUUCGUUGUUGUCAUGCCCCAAGACGAUAAUGAUGGACAAGAACCAUAUACACUUAAUCUACAAUCACUUUAAGACAUACACAAGGUUAUGAGAUAAUAACGGGCAAAAUAUUCAAUAAGAGUUGCAUAUAUACACGAGGGAGUUACAUUAACAAAACUAUACAAUACAAUCUUACACGAUGUCCAUGAAGCCUCGAGUCAGUUUAACACGCUAUAAUACAAGUGACUAGUCAGUAUAGGGCCCUUCAUGCGCAACUAAGAACCCGUACAUGUAAUAAAAAAUACUAUACAUAGGCCAGCUCCAAAAAGAGAAGGAGCUCACCAAAAUACCAGCUGAAAACGACAACAGGGCCUAAUGUGGACGUCUUCUAUCCUGAGGGCCUAAGCCUGCAUCAAUAAAAUAUAGUGCCCCUAGAAUGUCAGUACAUAAAAUAACAUGUACUAGUAUGAAAGUAGACAGAAUAACAGUUGAACAAGUACAAAAUCUCAUACGAGUCAAACAUUAAAGUGAAAAUUAAGAGCCAAUAAUAACACAUAUAAGAUAUGAACUGGUAACCUAUGCACCAAUCUUACAGGAAUUUUUGUGUAAUGUUUAGAAAGGUGUUCAUAAUAAUAUAGCGACUAUAAUUUAUCUAGGUGAUGUAAGCAUCCUAUAAGUAAUACAAAUAAUCACAAAAUGGCCUACCUAAGGCAAUCUGAGGCAAGUAUAAAGCAUAUGCUACUCAAAUAAUUAUUGCUAUGAUCCCAUAUGUAUAAUUGUAAUCACAGUCUGUAACUAGGUAUGCUCCACCCAGGGGCUCACUAUGAGGGCCUGCCCGCAGGCCAUAUAUGCCAUAUAUUGGCUCGAGUCAGGGGAAACUAGUACAUGACAUUCCAGCUGACUCCAAAUACAAAUGAUUCCACAAAAAUGGGUACGCCCCAGUAUAUGGGCUCACUAUAAUGGUAUGGUCUCGAUCUUGUGCACAGAAUCACGUCGAGCAGUAUGCCAAGCCAAACCUAUGUACCCUCCCAUCGCAAUGCUUAUCAAUUAAUGCCUUGAAGGCCUAUAACAUGUGAAUUAAGAUAAUGGUUGUCUACCUAAUAUAUACAAGUACAACUAUGCUAUUACUAUUUACUUUUACUCCUAACGUGUGAUAUAUAUAUAUAUAUAUAUAUAUAUAUUGUUUCCUAAAGGCUUCAAGUAGAGGAACUUAUAAUAAUAUGGAAGUUUCAUGAAAACAUAACACAAAGAGGGAAAGAUAAGUACCUAUAAGCUUGAUAGUACAACGAGGGAAGGAUAUGUAAGGCAAUAUAAAGAUUCUACUCUCGGUUAUAUCAACGUUAACAAGAAGGAGCACAUGACGUGGGGUGGUGCCUUAACGGAAA
This is a long non-coding RNA of Capsicum annuum, 1966 nucleotides long. RefSeq lists it as uncharacterized. The transcript is spliced from 2 exons. NCBI's taxonomy places the organism in Eukaryota, Viridiplantae, Streptophyta, Magnoliopsida, Solanales, Solanaceae. The record is from RefSeq and is a predicted model, not a curated record.